Molecule: ribosomal RNA, 253 nt
Filed under: uncultured bacterium
Lineage: Bacteria
Description: partial 16S ribosomal RNA
Rfam family: Bacterial small subunit ribosomal RNA
Source: RNAcentral
UACGGGGGGGGCAAGCGUUGUUCGGAAUUACUGGGUGUAAAGGGUUCGUAGGCGGUGCGGCAAGUUGGGAGUGAAAUCUCUGGGCUUAACCCAGAGGCUGCUUCCAAAACUGCUGUGCUUGAGUGUGGGAGAGGCGCGUGGAAUUGCAGGUGUAGCGGUGAAAUGCGUAGAUAUCUGCAGGAACACCCGUGGCGAAAGCGGCGCGCUGGACCACUACUGACGCUGAGGAACGAAAGCUAGGGGAGCAAACAGG